AAGUCUAUACUUUCAGGGAUCAUUUCUAUAGUUCGUUACUUCCUGUCUCCAUACACUUCCUAAUCCGGGCAUCUUAUAUAAAUGGA
This is a small nucleolar RNA of Lynx canadensis (Canada lynx), 86 nucleotides long. Its record names the gene U3. It matches the Rfam family "Small nucleolar RNA U3". Rfam says of the family: Small nucleolar RNAs (snoRNAs) are involved in the processing and modification of rRNA in the nucleolus. NCBI's taxonomy places the organism in Eukaryota, Metazoa, Chordata, Mammalia, Carnivora, Felidae. The record is from Ensembl.